Cercocebus atys (sooty mangabey) is the source of this 102-nucleotide small nuclear RNA. The record is from Ensembl. Lineage: Eukaryota; Metazoa; Chordata; Mammalia; Primates; Cercopithecidae.
GUGCUCCUUUAGCAGCACAUAUACUAAACGGGAACAAAUCAGAGAUUAGCAUGGCCCCUGUACAAUGAAGACACACAAAUUCAUAAAGCAUUCCACAUUUUU